Non-coding RNA from Arsenicibacter rosenii, 72 nucleotides. The record is from Rfam. NCBI's taxonomy places the organism in Bacteria, Pseudomonadati, Bacteroidota, Cytophagia, Cytophagales, Spirosomataceae.
GUCCCGUAACUCAUGCGGUUUGGGGCCUGUCUGCAAAACAGGUAUGGCGGGGUUCGACUCCCCGACGGGACU